Molecule: long non-coding RNA, 799 nt
Filed under: Marmota monax (woodchuck)
Lineage: Eukaryota; Metazoa; Chordata; Mammalia; Rodentia; Sciuridae
Source: RNAcentral
UAAUCCCCAGUGGAAACACUCUGGCACGAACAGAAGAACAAGAAUCAGAGUGGUGAUGAAAGGAUCCCUAGGGAGAAGAUGAAGAACCACCUGGCCCUGUCCUGGCUACUUGUGAUCUUCUCUGAACUUCAGUUUCCUCAUUUUUGACCCAAGAAGCCAAGGCUUGAGGUCUCUUUUUUUUCUAAUGUACUCUGCCCUCGCUUCUGUAGUGACACAAAGUACACUCUACAUGGGGCACCUUCUUCAAGUAAGCUCUCUGUGAGGAUGGGUAGAAUUAUUUGCUUUGUUGUGGAAAAAACUUGACAAUGGCAUUACAGUGGCUUUAAAUGGUCAAUUCAGAUAUAUAAGAACCUGAUUUAGAAGUUGUAACUUAGAAAACAUCUCCAAAAACACAUAGUUCAGUCAAAAAGUUACAAAAGUCACCCUUAGAGGCAUGAGGAUUCUAUUUCUGUUCUUUCAGGGGUCUGGAGCAGACUGGGGAAAUUGCAGUACUAUGGACAAUGUAACAAAUAUAGAUUCUAAGUAGACCCCAAUCUUCCUGGCCUCUGCUCAUUAAGUUCUCUCCAUGUAAGAUUCCUAGUGAAGCUGAAUCAGAAAAUUAUUAAACAUUCAUAGACUUUGACCAGAGAAGUGAGUGAGAUGAUGUCAGAGACCAACAUUUCUGAGUGUGACAGCUUGAAGCCCUCAAGUGUACUACAGGGACAAUUCAGGGACAGGCAGAUCUAGCUGGGAGAGUCCACUUCCCUGGUCAUUUUGGGAACAAUGCAGCAUCCUCAAGUUUCCUCUUUUAUGAUUUUCA